GACGAACGCUGGCGGCGUACCUAAUACAUGCAAGUCGAACGCUUCUUACUUAUCGAACUUCGGUUCACCAAGUAAGAGGAGUGGCGAACGGGUGAGUAACACGUGGGUAACCUGCCCAUCAGAGGGGGAUAACACUUGGAAACAGGUGCUAAUACCGCAUAAUUCUUUUUUAUCGCAUGGUAAGAAGAUGAAAGGCGCUUUUGCGUCACUGAUGGAUGGACCCGCGGUGCAUUAGCUAGUUGGUAGGGUAAUGGCCUACCAAGGCAACGAUGCAUAGCCGACCUGAGAGGGUGAUCGGCCACACUGGGACUGAGACACGGCCCAGACUCCUACGGGAGGCAGCAGUAGGGAAUCUUCGGCAAUGGACGAAAGUCUGACCGAGCAACGCCGCGUGAGUGAAGAAGGUUUUCGGAUCGUAAAACUCUGUUGUUAGAGAAGAACAAGUACGUUAGUAACUGAACGUACCUUGACGGUACCUUACCAGAAAGCCACGGCUAACUACGUGCCAGCCGCCGCCGUAA
Molecule: ribosomal RNA, 521 nt
Filed under: uncultured bacterium
Lineage: Bacteria
Description: partial 16S ribosomal RNA
Rfam family: Bacterial small subunit ribosomal RNA
Source: RNAcentral